Molecule: unclassified non-coding RNA, 402 nt
Filed under: soil metagenome
Description: partial contains 5.8S ribosomal RNA, internal transcribed spacer 2, and large subunit ribosomal RNA
Rfam family: 5.8S ribosomal RNA (bases 1-121)
Source: RNAcentral
GAUGAAGAACACAGCGAAAUGCGAUAAGUAAUGUGAAUUGCAGAAUUCAGUGAAUCAUCGAAUCUUUGAACGCACCUUGCGCCCUUUGGCUAUUCCGAAGGGCAUGCCUGUUUGAGUAUCAUGAACACCUCAACUCUCAUGGUUUGCCAUGAUGAGCUUGGACUCUGGGGGUCUUGCUGGCCUAUGGUCAGCUCCUCUCAAAUAAAUCAGCUUGCCAGUGUUUGGUGGCAUCACAGGUGUGAUAACUAUCUACGCUUGUGGUUUUCCAUCAGGUAACCUUCAGUGAUGGAGGUUCGCUGGAGCUCAUAAAUGUCCCUCCUCAGCGAGGACAGCUUUUUGAACGUUUGAUCUCAAAUCAGGUAGGACUACCCGCUGAACUUAAGCAUAUCAAUAAGCGGAGGA